AGUCAUAUGCUUGUCUCAAAGAUUAAGCCAUGCAUGUCUCAGUACAAGCCGAAUUAAGGUGAAACCGCGAAAGGCUCAUUAAAUCAGUUAUGGUUCCUUAGAUCGUACCCACAAUUACUUGGAUAACUGUGGUAAUUCUAGAGCUAAUACAUGCAAAUAGAGCUCCGACCGGAGACGGAAGGAGUGCUUUUAUUAGAUCAAAACCAAUCGGUGGCGGGUCGUUUCGCGCGGCUCGUCAUCGUACAACUUGGUGACUCUGAAUAACUUUACGCUGAUCGCACGGUCUCGCACCGGCGACGCAUCUUUCAAAUGUCUGCCUUAUCAACUGUCGAUGGUAGGUUCUGCGCCUACCAUGGUCGUAACGGGUAACGGGGAAUCAGGGUUCGAUUCCGGAGAGGGAGCCUGAGAAACGGCUACCACAUCCAAGGAAGGCAGCAGGCGCGCAAAUUACCCACUCCCGGCACGGGGAGGUAGUGACGAAAAAUAACGAUACGGGACUCAUCCGAGGCCCCGUAAUCGGAAUGAGUACACUCUAAACCCUUUAACGAGGAUCAAUUGGAGGGCAAGUCUGGUGCCAGCAGCCGCGGUAAUUCCAGCUCCAAUAGCGUAUAUUAAAGUUGUUGCGGUUAAAAAGCUCGUAGUCGAAUUUGUGUCUCGCGCCGNACGGUUCAUCGUNCCGCGGUGNUCAACUGGCGUGACGCGAGACGUCCUGCCGGUGGGCUUAGCUCCUUUGUCGUUGUGUUCCUGACGAGCGGGCGUUCGCGCGCACGUUCUCAGGUCGCGCGGCAUUCGGCGGCGGCCCAACUNCAUCCCGCCGCGGUGCUCUUCACUGAGUGUCGAGGUGGGCCGGCACGUUUACUUUGAACAAAUUAGAGUGCUUAAAGCAGGCUAAAAUUUCGCCUGAAUACUGUGUGCAUGGAAUAAUGGAAUAGGACCUCGGUUCUAUUUUGUUGGUUUUCGGAACCCCGAGGUAAUGAUUAAUAGGAACGGAUGGGGGCAUUCGUAUUGCGACGUUAGAGGUGAAAUUCUUGGAUCGUCGCAAGACGAACGGAAGCGAAAGCAUUUGCCAAAAACGCUUUCAUUGAUCAAGAACGAAAGUUAGAGGUUCGAAGGCGAUCAGAUACCGCCCUAGUUCUAACCAUAAACGAUGCCAGCUAGCGAUCCGUCGAAGUUUCUCCGAUGACUCGACGGGCAGCUUCCGGGAAACCAAAGCUUUUGGGUUCCGGGGGAAGUAUGGUUGCAAAGCUGAAACUUAAAGGAAUUGACGGAAGGGCACCACCAGGAGUGGAGCCUGCGGCUUAAUUUGACUCAACACGGGAAACCUCACCAGGCCCGGACACCGGAAGGAUUGACAGAUUGAGAGCUCUUUCUUGAUUCGGUGGGUGGUGGUGCAUGGCCGUUCUUAGUUGGUGGAGCGAUUUGUCUGGUUAAUUCCGAUAACGAACGAGACUCUAGCCUGCUAACUAGGCGCUUUUUGACAUCGCAAAGGCCCGCCGGCCGUGCGGGGUCCGCGCUCUUCACGGGGUGCGGCUCCGUCGUGNUCGCGCGCGGUUUUUACUGUCGGCGUACAAACAAUUCUUCUUAGAGGGACAGGCGGCUUCUAGCCGCACGAGAUUGAGCAAUAACAGGUCUGUGAUGCCCUUAGAUGUUCUGGGCCGCACGCGCGCUACACUGAAGGAAUCAGCGUGUCUUCCCUGACCGAACGGUCCGGGCAACCCGCUGAACCUCCUUCGUGCUAGGGAUUGGGGCUUGCAAUUGUUCCCCAUGAACGAGGAAUUCCCAGUAAGCGCGAGUCAUAAGCUCGCGUUGAUUACGUCCCUGCCCUUUGUACACACCGCCCGUCGCUACUACCGAUUGAAUGAUUUAGUGAGGUCUUCGGACCGACACGCGAUGGCGCUUCGGCGUCGUCGAUGUGUAUGGGAAGAUGACCAAACUUGAUCAUUUAGAGGAAGUAAAAGUCGUAACAAGGUUUCCGU
Molecule: ribosomal RNA, 1976 nt
Filed under: Acantharhinus carinatus
Lineage: Eukaryota; Metazoa; Arthropoda; Insecta; Coleoptera; Curculionidae
Description: SSU rRNA
Rfam family: Eukaryotic small subunit ribosomal RNA
Source: RNAcentral